GAAAUUCCAAUCGAACACGGAUAUAGCUGGUUCUCUCCGAAAUAGCUUUAGGGCUAGCCUCGAUGUUAAGUCUACUGGAGGUAGAGCACUGAAUGGGUGAUGGCCCCACCUCGGGGUACUGAUCUCAAUCAAACUCCGAAUGCCAGAUAGAUAUAAUCGGGAGUCAGACUGUGGGUGAUAAGGUCCAUGGUCAAAAGGGAAAGAGCCCAGACCGCCAGCUAAGGCCCCCAAGUGUCCGUUAAGUGGAAAAGGAUGUGGAGAUGCACAGACAACUAGGAGGUUGGCUUAGAAGCAGCCAUCCUUUAAAGAGUGCGUAAGAGCUCACUAGUCGAGUGACUCUGCGCCGAAAAUGUACCGGGGCUAAACGGACCGCCGAAGCUGCGGAUUGACUUUAGAGUCAGUGGUAGGAGAGCGUUCUAACAGCGGUGAAGCAGUACCGGAAGGAGCUGUGGAGCGGUUAGAAGUGAGAAUGCCGGUGUGAGUAGCGAAAGAUAGGUGAGAAUCCUAUCCAUCGAAAGCCUAAGGUUUCCAGGGGAAGGCUCGUCCGCCCUGGGUAAGUCGGGACCUAAGGUGAGGCCGAAAGGCGUAGCCGAUGGACAACAGGUUGAUAUUCCUGUACCACUUAUUAAACUGAUGGAGUGACGGAGAAGGCUAAGUUGAGCGUGUGAUUGGAUUCACGUGUAAGCAGUGAGGUGGUCAUGUAGGCAAAUCCGCAUGGCAUAACAUUGAGCUGUGAUGCCGAAGCCGAAUGGCGAAGUCAACUGACGUCACGCUUCCAAGAAAAGCUUCUAGGGUUAAUUUAAUAAGUGCCCGUACCGAUAACCGACACAGGUAGGCGAGGAGAGAAUCCUAAGAUGAGCGAGAGAACUCUUGUUAAGGAACUCGGCAAAAUGACCCCGUAACUUCGGGAGAAGGGGUGCUUGUGAAAGCAAGCCGCAGUGAAUAGGCCCAGGCGACUGUUUAUCAAAAACACAGGUCUCUGCUAAACCGCAAGGUGAUGUAUAGGGGCUGACGCCUGCCCGGUGCUGGAAGGUUAAGAGGAGAGGUUAGCGCAAGCGAAGCUUUGAAUUGAAGCCCCAGUAAACGGCGGCCGUAACUAUAACGGUCCUAAGGUAGCGAAAUUCCUUGUCGGGUAAGUUCCGACCCGCACGAAAGGCGUAACGAUCUGGGCGCUGUCUCAACAAGAGACUCGGUGAAAUCAUAGUACCUGUGAAGAUGCAGGUUACCCGCGACAGGACGGAAAGACCCCGUGGAGCUUUACUGUAGCUUGAUACUGAGCACUGGUGGCACAUGUACAGGAUAGGUGGGAGACGAAGAAACCAGGACGCCAGUCUUGGUGGAGUCGCUGUUGGGAUACCACCCUUGUGUCAC
This 1371-nucleotide ribosomal RNA is filed under the name human gut metagenome. Its description in RNAcentral is "bacterial LSU rRNA". It matches the Rfam family "Bacterial large subunit ribosomal RNA", at positions 823 to 2214 of the family's 2925-position model. The record is from RNAcentral.